RNAcentral lists this ribosomal RNA (54 nucleotides) under Koeleria vallesiana. Its description in RNAcentral is "partial 26S ribosomal RNA". Lineage: Eukaryota; Viridiplantae; Streptophyta; Magnoliopsida; Poales; Poaceae. The record is from RNAcentral.
GCGACCCCAGGUCAGGCGGGGCUACCCGCUGAAUUUAAGCAUAUAAAUAAGCGG